Molecule: transfer RNA, 60 nt
Filed under: Linevichella vortex
Lineage: Eukaryota; Metazoa; Arthropoda; Malacostraca; Amphipoda; Micruropodidae
Description: tRNA-Pro
Source: RNAcentral
CAAAAAGUAGUUUAAGUAAAAUAGUAGUUUUGGGUACUACAGAUGAGUAGUUCUUUUUGA